GAACGCAUACUUUAGAGUAUGAGUGGCAGACGGGUGAGUAACGCGUGAGACAUCUACCUUACAGCCCGGUAUAAAUAUCUAUAUAGAGGCGAAAAUCUUUAUAUAUGAGUGAAUCCCGGAUACUUUGAAUAAAAAAAAAGGCAAAGAACCGUUGUAAGAUGAGCUCGCGUAGGAUUAGGUAGUUGGUAAGGUAAAAGCUUAUCCAAGCCGAUGAUCCUUAGCUGUUCUGAGAGGAUGAUCAGCCACACUGGGACUGAGACACGGCCCAGACGCUUUCGAGCGGCAGCAGUGAGGAAUUUUGGACAAUGGGCGAAAGCCUGAUCCAGCUAUAUCGCAUGAAUGAAGAAGGCUCAAUUGGUUGUAAAAUUCAUAGUUUCAUUGUAGAUUAUGACAUUGAUGAAAUGAAUAGUCCCGGCCAACUCCGUGC
Molecule: ribosomal RNA, 427 nt
Filed under: uncultured Trebouxia photobiont
Lineage: Eukaryota; Viridiplantae; Chlorophyta; Trebouxiophyceae; Trebouxiales; Trebouxiaceae
Description: bacterial SSU rRNA
Rfam family: Bacterial small subunit ribosomal RNA
Source: RNAcentral